RNAcentral lists this ribosomal RNA (1633 nucleotides) under metagenome. Its description in RNAcentral is "bacterial LSU rRNA". It matches the Rfam family "Bacterial large subunit ribosomal RNA", at positions 1221 to 2925 of the family's 2925-position model. The record is from RNAcentral.
GUGAGUGGUAGGGGAGCGUCGCAUACUGGGGGAAGCGUCAGCGGGAGCAGGCGUGGACGGUAUGGGAGUGAGAAUGCCGGAAUGAGUAGCGAGAAUUAUGUGAGAAUCAUAAUGGCCGAAAAUCUAAGGUUUCCUGGGGAAGGUUCGUCCGCCCAGGGUAAGUCGGGAGCUAAGGCGAGGCCGAGAGGCGUAGUCGAUGCACAUACGGUUGAAAUUCCGUAACCACCGAACUUUAAGCACAGGGACACAUGGAGAUAGCGGAACCCGGGCGAUGGUCGACCCGGGCGAAAGGGACCGAAAACGAGUAGGGAAGUCCGCGAUGCUCUGUGGCGAGAAAAGCUGUGAGGAAUACUAAGGUGCCCGUACCGCAAACCGACACAGGUAGAUGAGGAGAGAAUCCUAAGGCCAACGGGAGAAGGGUUGUUAAGGAACUCGGCAAAAUGGUCCCGUAACUUCGGGAGAAGGGGCGCCUGUUGACGCAGGCCGCAGAGAAUAGGCCCAAGCAACUGUUUACCAAAAACACAGGUCUAUGCUAAAUCGAAAGAUGACGUAUAUGGGCUGACGCCUGCCCGGUGCCGGAAGGUUAAGAGGAGAGCUUAGUCGCAAGGCGAAGGUUUGAAUUGAAGCCCCGGUAAACGGCGGCCGUAACAAUAACGGUCCUAAGGUAGCGAAAUUCCUUGUCAGGUAAGUUCUGACCCGCACGAAUGGCGUAAUGAUUUGGCGCUGUCUCAACAGCCCACCCGGCGAAAUUGUAGUACCGGUGAAGAUGCCGGUUACCCGCAACUAGACGGAAAGACCCCAUGGAGCUUUACUGCAAAUUAAUACUGGAAUUCGGUAAGUCAUGUAUAGGAUAGGUGGGAGACAGAGAAACAGGGCCGCCAGGUUCUGCGGAGUCGCCCUUUGGAUACCACCCUUGAUUUGCUGGGUUUCUAACCGAUCGCCAUGAAUCUGGUGACGGGACACUGUUAGUUGGGCAGUUUGACUGGGGCGGUCGCCUCCUAAAGUGUAGCGGAGGCGCUCAAAGGUUGGCUCAGCACGGACGGAAACCGUGCAGUGAGUGUAAACGUAGAAGCCAGCCUGACUGCGAGACCGACGGGUCGAGCAGGUACGAAAGUAGGAGUUAGUGAUCCGGCGGUAUGUGAGUGGAAAUGCCGUCGCUCAACGGAUAAAAGCUACCCUGGGGAUAACAGGCUGAUCUCCCCCAAGCGUCCACAGCGACGGGGAGGUUUGGCACCUCGAUGUCGGCUCGUCGCAUCCUGGGGCUGUAUUCGGUCCCAAGGGUUUGGCUGUUCGCCAAUUAAAGCGGCACGCGAGCUGGGUUCAGAACGUCGUGAGACAGUUCGGUCCCUAUCUGUUGCGGGCGUAGGAGAUUUGAAGGGAGCUGUCCUUAGUACGAGAGGACCGGGAUGGACAUACCUCUGGUGCACCAGUUGUCCUGCCAAGGGCAUAGCUGGGUAGCUACGUAUGGAAGGGAUAAACGCUGAAGGCAUCUAAGCGUGAAGCCCCCCCUAAGAUAAGAUCUCCCAUCUUGAAAGAGAGUAAGGCUCGACGUAGACUAUGUCGUUGAUAGGCCAGGGGUGGAAGCACAGUAAUGUGUGCAGCUGACUGGUACUAAUAAGCCGAGGGCUUGAUC